GCCUAUAUUUAUUAUGUACAACCUCAUAUGUUCUUUUAUUUUGAUUGUUUUGAAGUAUAAAGCUUGCUGGUGGCAGUUUACCACAGUGUGACUACUGGGAGCAGUGAAAUCAGCUGGAGAGAAGCCAUGUGUCUACAUUUUUCUCAGUAAAAUAAGCUGAAGAACACCAGCACCACCUGGGAGGAACAGAAUAGAACACCUGAGAGACACCACUGCAGAAAUAUUUAUGUGGAUUUGGGGCGAGGUGGAAGGCUGUGCUUCAGCAAUCAGGUUCAAUCCUGGGGAGGUCAGAAGCUACAGUUAGCAGAGGAGGAGACAUGCUAAGACGAGAAAGAUGAUGAAGCCCUUCUGUUUCUACCCCUUUGCAUUUAUUCAGCCCAAGAGCCCAGAUAAGAGCUAAAGGAGAGAUUGGAGGUGAUCUCUUUCUCACUCCUCUACAAUUACAAAAUCUGAGAGUCAAGAAGGUUUGGAAGGAGACUGCUGCAAAUAACUCUUCCGUGAGAAGUUGGGGGGUUUGCAUCAUGGAAUUUAUAUAGACAAUUUCUGCAAAUAUCCCUUCAAUGUCAAGCCAACAAAGUAAAAUGUCAAGGGCCUACAUCUUAAGAGGGGGCUAGUUUUUAGGAUAAUUUUUCUAACAGUCUUUUGAGAUUUAUUCCUGUUUUCAUUUUGAGCAAAAUGAUUUCAAAACAUGACAUUAAAAAGUAC
RNAcentral lists this long non-coding RNA (705 nucleotides) under Callithrix jacchus (white-tufted-ear marmoset). Its description in RNAcentral is "lncRNA (ENSCJAG00000063681.2)". The record is from RNAcentral. Lineage: Eukaryota; Metazoa; Chordata; Mammalia; Primates; Cebidae.